RNAcentral lists this ribosomal RNA (673 nucleotides) under uncultured Escherichia sp. Its description in RNAcentral is "bacterial SSU rRNA". It matches the Rfam family "Bacterial small subunit ribosomal RNA", at positions 57 to 719 of the family's 1533-position model. Lineage: Bacteria; Pseudomonadati; Pseudomonadota; Gammaproteobacteria; Enterobacterales; Enterobacteriaceae. The record is from RNAcentral.
GCAAGUCGAACGGUAACAGAAAGCAGCUUGCUGCUUUGCUGACGAGUGGCGGACGGGUGAGUAAUGUCUGGGAAACUGCCUGAUGGAGGGGGAUAACUACUGGAAACGGUAGCUAAUACCGCAUAACGUCGCAAGACCAAAGAGGGGGACCUUAGGGCCUCUUGCCAUCGGAUGUGCCCAGAUGGGAUUAGCUAGUAAGUGGGGUAACGGCUCACCUAGGCGACGAUCCCUAGCUGGUCUGAGAGGAUGACCAGCCACACUGGAACUGAGACACGGUCCAGACUCCUACGGGAGGCAGCAGUGGGGAAUAUUGCACAAUGGGCGCAAGCCUGAUGCAGCCAUGCCGCGUGUAUGAAGAAGGCCUUCGGGUUGUAAAGUACUUUCAGCGGGGAGGAAGGGAGUAAAGUUAAUACCUUUGCUCAUUGACGUUACCCGCAGAAGAAGCACCGGCUAACUCCGUGCCAGCAGCCGCGGUAAUACGGAGGGUGCAAGCGUUAAUCGGAAUUACUGGGCGUAAAGCGCACGCAGGCGGUUUGUUAAGUCAGAUGUGAAAUCCCCGGGCUCAACCUGGGAACUGCAUCUGAUACUGGCAGGCUUGAGUCUCGUAGAGGGGGGUAGAAUUCCAGGUGUAGCGGUGAAAUGCGUAGAGAUCUGGAGGAAUACCGGUGGCGAA